RNAcentral lists this ribosomal RNA (253 nucleotides) under uncultured bacterium. RNAcentral's name for it is "partial 16S ribosomal RNA". It matches the Rfam family "Bacterial small subunit ribosomal RNA", at positions 524 to 776 of the family's 1533-position model. The record is from RNAcentral.
UACGUAGGGGGCUAGCGUUGUCCGGAUUUAUUGGGCGUAAAGAGCGUGUAGGCGGCUAGGUAGGUCUGCUGUGAAAACUCGAGGCUCAACCUCGAGACGUCGGCGGAAACCAUCUGGCUAGAGUCCGGAAGAGGAGAGUGGAAUUCCUGGUGUAGCGGUGAAAUGCGCGGAUAUCAGGAAGAACACCCGUGGCGAAGGCGGCUCUCUGGGACGGUACUGACGCUGAGACGCGAAAGCGUGGGGAGCGAACAGG